UUUAAAUUUAAUUAAAAAUACUUAAUUAUUAUAAGUUAUUCUCUUUAAAAUUAAAAAAUUUGGCGGUAUUUUAUUCUAUUUAGAGGAACUUGCUUUUUAAUUGAUAUUACUCAUUAAAUCUUACUUAAGUUUGUUUAUCAAUCUAUAUAUCGUUGUUAUAAGAAAAUAUUUUUAAAUUAAUAAUUUUCAAAAAUUAAAAUUUUUAAAUUAAAUCAAAUCAAGGUGUAGUUUAUACUUAAGAAAAAGUUAGUUACAAUAAAAUUAUUUAUAUGAAUAAAUAAAUUGAAAAAUUUUUUUGAAGGUGGAUUUAAAUGUAAAUUAAUAAAUUUAAAUUAAUUGAUAAAAGUUUUAAAAUAUGU
RNAcentral lists this ribosomal RNA (359 nucleotides) under Ditomyia fasciata. Its description in RNAcentral is "partial 12S ribosomal RNA". Lineage: Eukaryota; Metazoa; Arthropoda; Insecta; Diptera; Ditomyiidae. The record is from RNAcentral.